RNAcentral lists this transfer RNA (100 nucleotides) under Chlamydomonas reinhardtii. It matches the Rfam family "tRNA". Rfam says of the family: Transfer RNA (tRNA) molecules are approximately 80 nucleotides in length. Lineage: Eukaryota; Viridiplantae; Chlorophyta; Chlorophyceae; Chlamydomonadales; Chlamydomonadaceae. The record is from Rfam by way of RNAcentral.
GGCUUCGUGGCGUAAUGGUGGCGCGUCGGAUUCCAAUCCUCCGGACUUCAGCCGGAAGGGCACCAUCCGAAGGUUGGGGGUUCGAUCCCCUCCGAGGUCA